AAGAAGGCUGCCCUAGCAAGAUUGAGUGCUGUAAACAGGAGCCUUAAGGUUGCAAAGUCUGGGGUUAAGAAGAGGAACAGGCAAGCCUUGAAAUCAAGUGGCAGGAAGUGAGAUCUUAGAGAAUUGAAAAAUGAGAUGUUGAGUUUGCCAUUGUGUUUUAUGUUGAAAUGUCAACUUUUUAGUUCAGUUUGGAAUCUGAAGAGUAGUCUGGCGAUAGAUGUUUUGCAUUAUUAUAUGAUUAUUUUCUUGCUGUGGUGAACUUUUGG
RNAcentral lists this unclassified non-coding RNA (266 nucleotides) under Hevea brasiliensis (rubber tree). The record is from RNAcentral. Lineage: Eukaryota; Viridiplantae; Streptophyta; Magnoliopsida; Malpighiales; Euphorbiaceae.